RNAcentral lists this long non-coding RNA (374 nucleotides) under Brassica napus (rape). RNAcentral describes it as "long non-coding RNA (BNAP_LNC015827)". The record is from RNAcentral. Lineage: Eukaryota; Viridiplantae; Streptophyta; Magnoliopsida; Brassicales; Brassicaceae.
AGAGGUUUGUGGCUGAGGUUCCUUAGGAUUAGAGGAGGUUACAAGAGAGAUCUUGAGCUACUUGUAGUAGAAGCAACCUUAUGUGUGCUGUUUCUGAUGAUUAUUUAACGAAUAUGGGCUUAUAUUGAGUUACUUGUUCUAGUUUCGGAUGACAAAGGAAAAACAAGGUAGUGACUAUCUAUUCAAAAAACUAAAUCAGAAAGAGCCCGUACUCGGGAGUUCGAAUCUCACAAAUGUUAAAACAAGUAGCUUGCCUAUCAUUUUAUCUUUUUAAUAAAAAAAUAUACUAACAUAGGCUUCAAAUGGAGAACGCAGAUCACAAAAUGCAGAUCAAACCAAUAAUGCAGAUCAAACCGAUAAUGAAGAUCAAAUGC